CGCACCUCUCGUCUAGGCGGGAGGGCCGCGUGAGAUUUGGCCCCUGAAGGGAUCCGUCCGAUGGAAGACAAGUCAGUGGCUCGGGAAAGUGACGCUUGAGCCUGCGGAUUUCUGGGAACGACGCAGGUUCUCGCGAGGGGCCGCCCAGUUCCUGAAGGAGUUAAAAAAUAGUCAAGUCCGUAGUCUGGAUUAACGCUGGGACGGCUCGCUUGUUAGUGUGUUCAUUUGCGUCGUUAGUCUAACCUGGAGGAUGAAAGCCGUACCGGAGUCUGUUCUGUUGUAAUCUUGUUUAUCAACUCCCAUGUCUCCCCUUUAUUUCCCACCCUAGCUGUGAAUCUCCGGAUAAAUUAGACCCCAUCGGGAACCUGAGUGUGUUGUUCAGUUGAUUCUCCUGCUUGUCUUCUGAUAUGUUUAUGCUGACGUUCUCUAAGGAGAAGAUAUCUAGAGGCAAGAUUGCCAGAUUCAGGAAUACAUAGCUGAAGUUGUACUUGAUAAAGGCGAGAGAAAGGGAAGAAAAUCUUAAAGCUGAACCAGCUCUAAGAAUCUCUUUUGGAGCAAAACUACACCUAGAAGAAGCAAGAAUGUAAUCUUUCAACAAAC
This is a long non-coding RNA of Mastomys coucha (southern multimammate mouse), 600 nucleotides long. RefSeq lists it as uncharacterized. Lineage: Eukaryota; Metazoa; Chordata; Mammalia; Rodentia; Muridae. The record is from RefSeq and is a predicted model, not a curated record. The transcript is spliced from 3 exons.